This 450-nucleotide ribosomal RNA is filed under the name uncultured organism. RNAcentral describes it as "partial 16S ribosomal RNA". It matches the Rfam family "Bacterial small subunit ribosomal RNA", at positions 330 to 797 of the family's 1533-position model. The record is from RNAcentral.
CGUACACUCCUGCGGGAGGCAGCAGUGGGGAAUAUUGGACAAUGGGCGCAAGCCUGAUCCAGCCAUGCCGCGUGAGUGAUGAAGGCCCUAGGGUUGUAAAGCUCUUUCACCGGUGAAGAUAAUGACGGUAACCGGAGAAGAAGCCCCGGCUAACUUCGUGCCAGCAGCCGCGGUAAUACGAAGGGGGCUAGCGUUGUUCGGAUUUACUGGGCGUAAAGCGCACGUAGGCGGACUAUUAAGUCAGGGGUGAAAUCCCGGGGCUCAACCCCGGAACUGCCUUUGAUACUGGUAGUCUUGAGUUCGAGAGAGGUGAGUGGAAUUCCGAGUGUAGAGGUGAAAUUCGUAGAUAUUCGGAGGAACACCAGUGGCGAAGGCGGCUCACUGGCUCGAUACUGACGCUGAGGUGCGAAAGCGUGGGGAGCAAACAGGAUUAGAUACCCUAGUAGUCCC